RNAcentral lists this ribosomal RNA (179 nucleotides) under Ruellia laslobasensis. RNAcentral describes it as "5.8S ribosomal RNA". The stretch from base 119 to 179 matches the Rfam family "5.8S ribosomal RNA", at positions 1 to 61 of the family's 154-position model. The record is from RNAcentral. Lineage: Eukaryota; Viridiplantae; Streptophyta; Magnoliopsida; Lamiales; Acanthaceae.
UAANGAACCCCGGCGCGGAAUGCGCCAAGGAAAACCUAAAUGAAUCGCCCGACCCCCUCUGUUGCCCCGUACGCGGUGUGCACAAAGGGGGUAUGGUGCGUAUCUUSAAUGUCAAAACGACUCUCGGCAACGGAUAUCUCGGCUCUCGCAUCGAUGAAGAACGUAGCGAAAUGCGAUAC